CACAAAUCCUGGAGCUCCGCCGCAUGUAGGUUCUCAACGAGAUGGUAAAUGAGGAGUGGAGAGAACAUGAUGGAGAAAGCAGCAUCUUCAUCUCUUGAUAAUUUAAUCUUCCUGUUAGAUGGCAGCUCCUGUAAUUGACAACCAUAAGUUCUGACAUAAACUCUGAAAUAUCAAAAUAGUACCUCGUUGUGUAAGAGUCGAACUAAACCGCAAGACUCUAAAGACCCCCAGUUAUCUUCGUAUCUGCUACCUGGCCAGACUAGUUCUUCCCGACUGAUCAGGGUCCCCAGCAGCGCAACAUAAAAAGCUCGUAACACCAACAAAUACUUAUCGUCCUUAAGGUACCGAUAAUAAAAACCACGUUUGAUAUUACCCCAGGCGGUCGUUAUUGUGUUAUGGAGAUCGAUUUGAGUGAUUGAUUCAC
Molecule: long non-coding RNA, 424 nt
Filed under: Selaginella moellendorffii
Lineage: Eukaryota; Viridiplantae; Streptophyta; Lycopodiopsida; Selaginellales; Selaginellaceae
Description: long non-coding RNA (SMOE_LNC001914)
Source: RNAcentral